This 464-nucleotide ribosomal RNA is filed under the name uncultured bacterium. RNAcentral describes it as "bacterial SSU rRNA". It matches the Rfam family "Bacterial small subunit ribosomal RNA", at positions 331 to 792 of the family's 1533-position model. The record is from RNAcentral.
CCAGACUCCUACGGGAGGCAGCAGUGAGGAAUAUUGGUCAAUGGGCGGGAGCCUGAACCAGCCAAGUCGCGUGAGGGAAGACGGUCCUAUGGAUUGUAAACCUCUUUUGUCGGGGAGCAAAGAGGCCUCGUGAGGUCAAAAGCGAGAGUACCCGAAGAAAAAGCAUCGGCUAACUCCGUGCCAGCAGCCGCGGUAAUACGGAGGAUGCGAGCGUUAUCCGGAUUUAUUGGGUUUAAAGGGUGCGUAGGCGGGACGGUAAGUCAGCGGUAAAAAUGCGGAGCUCAACUCCGUCGAGCCGUUGAAACUGCCGUUCUUGAGUGAGCGAGAAGUAUGCGGAAUGCGUGGUGUAGCGGUGAAAUGCAUAGAUAUCACGCAGAACUCCGAUUGCGAAGGCAGCAUACCGGCGCUCAACUGACGCUGAAGCACGAAGGCGUGGGUAUCGAACAGGAUUAGAUACCCGAGUA